Molecule: long non-coding RNA, 35988 nt
Filed under: Triticum aestivum (bread wheat)
Lineage: Eukaryota; Viridiplantae; Streptophyta; Magnoliopsida; Poales; Poaceae
Description: long non-coding RNA (TAES_LNC000954)
Rfam family: MIR1120/MIR1122 microRNA precursor family (bases 19845-19931)
Source: RNAcentral
GAAAAGUGCAGCAUCUCUCAUCACCUUCUUCAUCUUCUCCUCCUCAUCCCUUCAUGCUCACUCGCCUAUAAAUAUCCCUCGCUGCCUGCCAUUGUUCCUCAAGCCAGCAAGCAAGAAGCACACAGGAAGCUCCUAGUCAACACCAAUCAAAGCCUCCAUCCAAUCCCAAGCAACCUCGAAGAUGUCUUGCUGCGGAGGAAGCUGCGGCUGCGGCAGCGCCUGCAAGUGCGGCAAUGGCUGCGGCGGCUGCAACAUGUACCCGGAGGUCGAGGCCGCCGGCGCCACCCUCCUCGUCUCCGCCACUGCCACCCACAAGGCGUACGUCCCUUCUCUUGACAAAAUUUUCUCCACAGCUCAUACAUCAUCAUGCACUCGAUCUUAGUUACAAUAUGGCUGUAUGUUGAUCUUGGUAUGGAUGGGGUACGUGCAGGAGCUCCGGCGGGAUGGAGAUGGCGGCGGAGAACGGCGGCUGCGGCUGCACCCAGUGCAAGUGCGGCACCAGCUGCGGCUGCUCCUGCUGCAGCUGCUAGAUCAUUGAUCAUGCAUGCGCCGCGUGCAUCAUAUCUAUGGUCUAUCUACCAUCUACUACCAUGUAACGCUGCCUGAUCGAGGGUCUUUGUAUGUAUGUACGCACCUGCCUGCAUGAGCAGAGCGGGUGCCAUGCCAUGCAUGUAAACCCCUAAAUAAAAUCUCCCGUGGUUUUGCUUACAUCGUGUUGUUAGAUCCUCCUCCUAUUAGUGUUGCUUUCGGGUUCUUCUUAUGCACGAGCAGGAUCAGAGGCCGGUCUUUUGUUCUUGGUCUUCUCCUCAAACUGUCGUUUUCCUCUUCUCUAUGGUUCCAUUUGCAGCAGUAUUUUCUUCUUCUGUUGCCGAGUUCUGUAUCAGACUGCCUUGUUUUGUGGUUUAUCCCUAUUCAUCUUGAAAUAUAGGUAUAGCGCAUGAAUUUAUUUGCAAAUGGUGUAUCUCAACGGGACACGAUGGUAUGCGUAUCUUGCAGGAUGUAUUGAUCUGUCUAUCUUAUGCGUCUUAUAUUAAAAAAAAAUUACAUUAAGGUCUCGUGGUGUAGUAGGUUACCACGUCAGUCUAACACACUACAUGGCGAAGCCAAAUUAUCAUUGUUUUUCCUUGCAUGCAAAAUGCAGCAAUAGAUCUUCGUCCUUGGCUAGUUUCCCAUAUUUUCACCGCCUAUGUUGCAGGUAUUCGACCCUAUUGGAGUCUCCUUUUUUGUCACUGUUUCUCACUUUCUGUGAUGUGAUGUGUGCGCAAAUAUUCCCACAGCAACUACAUAAUAAUAAAUCCAUUUACGCAAGCGCCCGAAUAAUGGCAAUGAUAUAUUACCGCUCAAAGCGCAUCUCCUAAUUAACCUGUCAUGUCCAUAGCUGCGUCUAAGCUCUCGGGGCAGAAAUACUCACUCUCGACCACUGCUUCAUAUCACCGAAUCCACACGGCCAAAUUACGUCCUCCAUUUUUUAAGCGGUGACACUAUAUCUCGUGGGAAAAUUGUUUCCACUGUUCGAUAUCCCUCCCUUUGAUGAAAAAAUUCACGCUUGGCUUCUGCAUCACAGAGUGCAGAUAACGAAAAUUGUUUUCUAUGUUCUGAGCUGGAACACUAUAUCUUGUGUAAAAAAAUUGUGUCAACAAUAUCGAUAUUCCCUCCCAUAAAAUAAAAUCAUCAAUAGCUCACUUCUCUAUAUAACUGAAUGGAAAGUAAUGGGCGGUGUGGAGCACCCAAGACAGCACGCAAAAUAUCGGUGUUAUUUUAACUCCACUACGUAGACAAGUCACUAUAUUUACCCAAUUAUGUAAGAAAUAUAAAUAACUCAAGAACUGUCUGGCCAUAGAUGGAGCUUUCUACAGGUGGGGACAAGAAUUUGGCACCACCCACUCAAUUUCCCUCUCACCUUUUUUGCAUUGCUUUCAUAUUAAAAAACAAAAAAAAAAUAGUGAGUUGAUUUGCGAUCUGCCUGAAAAUGACAAGAUGACGGUUGGGGGUUAAAAAAACAUUCAAAUGCAUUUUAUAUAUUCACAUGUUUACUUAUUUUGUAUUUGUUUGUGCAUGUCAUAAAAAUCAUCAAUUUCCACAAGCAUACAUAAUACUCAAUGAUCUACAUUGACAAUAGGCUUUGAGAUUUUUCAACACAUGACAAAAAAAAUCAAAUGAGGUCAGCUGGAAAUUAAAGAUCUGUUUUGACUUCCAAAUAAUUAUGAUCUCUUUUGUUCAAACUUAAAAGGGAUCAUUACAGAAAAUUUGGAGAUUCCAAUUGUUAGAAUAUUUUCCUACAGGACUAGUAGGGCUGUGAACCAUAAUGAUAUUUUCUAUGGCCGAAUUGACAUGUAUACGUAAGAAAAAUUUCUGUCGAGCCAAAUCUAUUGGAAAUAGUUUCGUUGGUUCAAUGACAACUAUGUGCUUGCACCUAACGCUUGAGAAAAUUCUUGUAUUUUUUCCCUCUUGCAAUAAAUCAACAUCUAUAUUUUACACAUUUACUCCAUCUUCAAUUCCCACAGAAUUCAACACAGCAUGACAUGAAAUCUGUAUGUUAAUUUUUCCGGUUCCUGUCUUUUUAAAAUCCUGCAAAAGGAUGUGGCAUGUAAUCUUUAAAAAUAGUGGGAGUGUGAUAGUUAUUGAAAUGCAUGUAGGAUGGAAACUAAAAUUUCAGUAAAAUUCAGCUUAUAACACUAAAACUGAAAAAGUUGCCAAGCCUAUGGCAACCAAGAGCCGCCAAGAUUUCUUAAAUAACAAAUAUUUUCGGCAACCUCCCCCUAAGAAGACAUAGCUUUUUCCUUGUCUUGACAUUAAAAAACACUGAGUGAGGGUUAUCGGCUGAAUAUAUUCACUAAGGGCAUGCACAAAAGAGAGUUGCCUAUUAUUAUUUUACAAUGCUUUCAGAAUUUAGUUUGAUAUUGGUUUAAUUCGUAAUUCAUAAUUUACCGAGAAAUACCACUACGAAGUCAAGCAACCCUAAACUUGACCGUUAUGGCUGCAUGCAUCAAUGUAUGCCGUGGGCCGCGGGGGGUCUUGUUUGGAAAAUAAUAAUGAUCUUAUAGUGCAAUGAUUGGUCAUUGCCUAAGGUAUUUCCCUCCGUUCCAAGAUACAAGGUGCAUUUUUUAUUAAAAAAACAAAAUUCCCUAUGUUUGACCAAAUUUAAAAUAAAACGUCUCUGUGUUUGGAAACCAUUUAUUUUUAUAAGCUCGAUCAAACAUAGAAGAUUUGACUUCAGAAAAAAAAAUUAGUACAACUUAUAUUUUGAAACGGGAGUUAGUAGGUACACCAAUAAUUCGAUAUACCCACAAAUGCUGGCUGUAGUUCCUUUCAUGGCUCCGUUGAUGUAAGAAAGAUGCUAGUAGAGACUAGAGACAAAGGGAAUCAAAUUAUGGGAGGAGGCGGCCCUAUCUAUAUUCCUCUUCCCCACGCGGUUGCUCCCGUCCAUCCUUUCCCAAAAGUGGAGCAUCUCUCAUUUCCUUCUUCAUCUUCUCCUCCUCAUCCUUCCUUGCUCACUCGCCUAUAAAUAGCCCUCGCUGCCUGCCAUUGUUAAGCCAGCAAGCAAGAAGCACAAAAGAGUCCAACACCAAUCAAGGCCUCCAUCCAAUCCCAAGCAACCUCGAAGAUGUCUUGCUGCGGAGGAAGCUGCGGCUGCGGCAGCGCCUGCAAGUGCGGCAACGGCUGCGGCGGCUGCAACAUGUACCCGGAGGCUGAGGCCGCCGGCGCCACCCUCCUCGUCUCUGCCACCGCCACCCACAAGGCGUAAGUUCCUUCUCUUAACAAAAUUUCCUCGUCAACUCAUACAUCAUCAUGCACUCGAUCGUAAUAAUAUGACUGUAUGUUGAUCUUGGUAUGGAUGGAUGGAUGCAGGAGCUCCAGCGGGAUGGAGAUGGCGGCGGAGAACGGCGGCUGCGGCUGCACCCAGUGCAAGUGCGGCACCAGCUGCGGCUGCUCCUGCUGCAGCUGCUAGAUCAUUGAUCAUCGAUCAUCGACCAUGCAUGCACCUGCCGCGCGCGUGCAUCAUAUCUAUGAUCGAUCGGUCCAUCUACUACCAUGUGUAACGCCACCUGGUCGAGGGUCUUUGUAUGUAUGUAAGCACCUGCCAGCAUGAGCAGAGCAGGUGCACUCCCAUGCAUGUAAACCGACCCCUAAAUAAAAUCUCCCGUGGUUUAACCUAUACAUGUGUUUGUGUUAUAGACCAGCUUCUGGCCCGUGUUUACUAUCAACUUGCGACGUGCAUGGGUUGUUAAUAGACCAGCUGAAUGCUCUCUUGAAGCAAUGUAUGCACCGCCUUGGAAUCGGUGUAUCUUUAUACACCUGUAUUUAUUUUACAAGGUGUAUAUCAUCGGCCACACCUGGUAAAAAACGAUGGAUGGAGAAGGGUAAAUUUACAGGGGUAUUGCUCUGUGAAACGAGAAUCCAAUCAGGGCCGUAGUGUUUGAUACGUGUGAAUAUUACUGCCCGAAGUUGAGUAUGAGAUACAUAUACAAAGUUAACACUUAUUGUCUCGCCUUAGUUUUUUUGUUUUCCAGAGAAAUUUCCAAUCUAUUCAUCAAUCAUAGCAGUAUAGACCAUAGAGAACACCAGAGGUAAUAAAAAUUACAACUAGGUCCAUAGACCACCUAGCAACGACUACACGCACUGCAGCGAGCCGAAGGCGUGCCGCCUUCAUCGCCCCUCCCUCACCAGAGCCGAGCAAACCUUGUUAUAGUAGACAGUCGGCAAGUCGUCGUGCUAAGGCCCCAAAGAACCAGGCACCAGAGUAGCAAUCAUCGCUGAUGAAGAGAGUUGUAGAUCAGAAAGAUCAAACCUGUAACCACACGAACGAAGACGAACAAAAAUUGGAUCCAAAUAGAUCCACUGAAGACCAGCACUGACCAAAUCCUGUGAGAUCCGACAGAAACACACCUCCAAAUAUCCGACGACGACGCUAUUCACACCAUCAGGACGGGGAUUGGACGUGGGAGACAUUAUUCCUCCUAAGGGACACCGUCACCGCCACCGCUACACAGUUCGAACCAAGACGUUAAACCUAACAAAAAUGAGAACGGGGUCCCUCCCGCUGGCGCGGGGCCGAGAUCUCCGCACCUCCACGGCCCAAAAGCCAUCAGAGAUGGAGCGGAUCGGCGGCGGCACCGGCACGAGGAGAAACUAGACUUUUCUUGAGGAGAAGCAAAGAGAGAAUCGUAUUGCUGUCUAAAUUACCGCGUCUUAGUUCACUGUACUAUUUGCACCAGCUGUAGUACUUCAUAACUAGAUUGCCAUGGUUGACGAUGGGCGUGUUCCCCUUACUCGUAGUGUAGUAGUGCCCUAGCGGCGACAUCUAUAUCAUGAACAAUUAAAACAUCACGAAAUCGAUGGCGUGAUGACUUAUGCCUUGGUGCCUAUAUCAUACGCUUUUUUUGUGAUGAUGACAAAGAAACAAGCAUUAUUAUUUCCGGAUGUUAAAUGGAAAGAGUGAAUCUCAUGUAUAUCGUACUGGUAAAACAAAAUUUAAAACAUUGGAUUCGCUGAUGAUUUCCUUGAUAUAAAAUUUGAGGUGUGCUCUACAACACCCCAUCCCACCCGGGAGCUCCUAUUUGGCACGCUAUGCGAUAGUAAUCGAGCCAGUGGGCAUCCCCUUCCCCUGCGUGCCCUUUUGAGCCGGCCCAUUCGCGGGGCAAGACGCGCCGUUUUUUUUUCUGUUUUUUGUUUUAUUUCUUUUUAAAGUAAUAUAGGAUUUCAAAAAAAGUUCCAAAUUUUCCAAAAUUGUCAAUUUUUGAAAAAAUAUUAAAGAAAUCAUAAAAUGUUUGUGCAUUCAAGAAAAUGAUCGUAAUUUGAAAGACAUGUUCGCAUAUUGAAAAAUGUUCAUGAUUUUGAACAAAAUGUUCGCAAAUUCAAAAAAUGUCAAAAAAAUAAAAUAUGAUUCUCAAUUACAAAGAUGUUCGUUGAUUCAAAAAAUUUAAAUUAAUUUCGAAAAUUGUUCGUCAAACAAAUAAUGUUCAUGAAUGUCAGAAAUUCUUCCCAGAUUUCAAAAAAUAUUUGCCGAUUCAAAAAUUAUUCACUGACUCAAAUGUUCACGAGUUUCAAAAAAAAUGUUCACAAUUUAGAAAAAGAUGUUCUCAAUAAAAAAAUGGGAAUUCAACAAAUGUUCACGAUUAAAUAAAAUGUUCACGAAUUUGUAAGCAUGUUCGUGAGUUUGAAAACUAUUCAUAAUUUCAUAAAACAAUGUUCGUGAAAUUGAAAAGUGAUCACAAUUUCAAAUAAUGUUAAAAUUUCAUUAAAAAAUUCAUGAAUUUUAAAAUAAGUUCAAAAAUUUAAAAAGAAAAAGGGAAAAAAGAAAGUAAAAACUAAGAUGGAAAAAAGAAAUAAUCUAAUAAAGUAAAAACAUGAAAUAAAAAUAAAUGGAAAAACAAGAAUAACCCAAUAGGAAAGAAAUAAAAAAAAAACAGGUCUGCAAAGGUGUUAGAACCUUCCCAAAACCGAAAAGGAGCUACUUGGGCCGGCCCAAAAUGUGUACCUAGCGCGGGACGGGGNNNNNNNNNNNNNNNNNNNNNNNNNNNNNNNNNNNNNNNNNNNNNNNNNNNNNNNNNNNNNNNNNNNNNNNNNNNNNNNNNNNNNNNNNNNNNNNNNNNNNNNNNNNNNNNNNNNNNNNNNNNNNNNNNNNNNNNNNNNNNNNNNNNNNNNNNNNNNNNNNNNNNNNNNNNNNNNNNNNNNNNNNNNNNNGCUUCGCAAUUUUUGAGCAGAUCAAUGGUCUAGAUUAAAACAUGCCCUUUACUUAGGAAGGGUAAUAUAGAAACUUCACAUGAUAAGAACUCUUGAGAAAAAGAUGACCGGCGCUCAAGAAACCCAUGGCAGCCUAUGCAACUUGUUUGGAGCAGCCAUGUUCGUCUACUUCCUAGCCUAAUCCACUACCCUGGUCGUCCAUGUAUCUAUCAGAGUAGGUUGCAACAGAACACUAGGUUGGCUGACGAAACCAAUGCAGUCCAAUCCCUUAUUGAACUUAAAGUCUAUAUAUAUGUAGUUAGGAGUUUCCUAACUAAAGCACGCGGUUUAACUUGAUAGAUGUAAUAAGAUUCAACUCGAUAAUCAUUUAAUUCCUAAUGGUUUCACAAAAAUAUAGUUACAAUAACUAACUCAAACGAAAUAUAGGCAAACAAUCAAACAUCGAAUGACUCCACAUGGCUUCCAAAUAAAACUAAUUAACAAUCAAGUAAUAAAUUGUUUAUUCCUUGCUCUCAAUAUGAUGUUAUACAUAACAUACUUUGGUCCAUCCUGAAGUAACUACUAGCCAGUAUUUCAGUCUCUACUAGCAAAUGUUGCAAUAGCAAAUAGCCUUGAUGGCGUUUUUCUUCUCACAAUGGUAGUCCUUGAGGCUGCCCUUCCUAUCACGUGCAAACACCUCGCAUGUGGCCUUGCACAGCGGCUUGGUGCAGAAAAACUCCCCGCCGUCGUCAACGACCGUGCAACUAUCUGUACAACACCAAGAAAAUACAAACCAUUAUAUUAGAAGAUUAGCGGCAAACCCCCAUUAGAUUAGAUUAUACUUGUUUGAUGGACAUAAUUAAACAUACCUGCAGAAAUAGGAGUACCCACAAGUGCUAGCACCACUAGGAAGCAAACAAUAGCAGCCCGUGUGUCCAUCCCAAGGGUGUUCUCUCCUUUUUUGAACUAGGAAGGAAAAUAUGUGUUCUCUUCGUCUGUUUUAAUUUGGCUAUGGGACUAAUGUUUAUGUCUUGGAGUGUUGUCUUAUAUUGGCCUAUUAAAAGGGACAAAAAUUAAAGCAUUUAAACACUUGUUAAACUUAGCAAACGAGAUAGAGGUGAGUCACACCCCAGAAAUGGAAGCACUUAAUGUUAGGUGAGAAAUUAAAUGACAAAAGGCAAAGAAUAUAUGAGUAAUGUUUAUCCAAUAAUUACGGGCUUUAAUUUUAUACUACAAAAUAAGCAUGACCAUUCAAAAAAAAUGGAGUCAUCUUUUGUCGCCGGUGACAUUGAUCAAACAUUCUUUUUAUUACAAAAAAUGUCUAGCCACUUUAAUCGCAAACGCCAUUGUGCAUUGAAAUUCAAUUGACUUCAACAAAACAAUUAAUAUGAAUUGCAUGCUUCAUAUGCAACUAGCUAAACCUAAAAUUGUAUGUUGUCUUGAGUUGACUAAAUCACCAUGUUUGACUAGGCCUUGUUUAAAACUGUGUAAAUUUGCACGGCGCUGGGGAUGCUCGACCGGCAAAGGUUGUCCGGUGGAACGGAAUAUUUGUGAAGAAGGACUGGAAUCAGAUCUCGCCCGAGCCGCUCUCGCGGGCGGCAGGGCGAAAACCUAGCCGUCGCCCGCCAGCUCCCCCUCCCCGCCUCUUCCCCUCCCCGCCGCCGCCGGAGGGCGCCACCAGGCGAAGCCCGGCUGGCGUCGGUGNNNNNNNNNNNNNNNNNNNNNNNNNNNNNNNNNNNNNNNNNNNNNNNNNNNNNNNNNNNNNNNNNNNNNNNNNNNNNNNNNNNNNNNNNNNNNNNNNNNNNNNNNNNNNNNNNNNNNNNNNNNNNNNNNNNNNNNNNNNNNNNNNNNNNNNNNNNNNNNNNNNNNNNNNNNNNNNNNNNNNNNNNNNNNNNNNNNNNNNNNNNNNNNNNNNNNNNNNNNNNNNNNNNNNNNNNNNNNNNNNNNNNNNNNNNNNNNNNNNNNNNNNNNNNNNNNNNNNNNNNNNNNNNNNNNNNNNNNNNNNNNNNNNNNNNNNNNNNNNNNNNNNNNNNNNNNNNNNNNNNNNNNNNNNNNNNNNNNNNNNNNNNNNNNNNNNNNNNNNNNNNNNNNNNNNNNNNNGGGGCGUGCUGGCUUGGGGGCGGCGGGGCAGUAGUGGCUGCUUCGUUAGAUCCGGUGGCCAGCGACGAGGGCUGCGGCGGCGCGGGCUGGGGGCGGCUGCCGGCUUGGCUGGGCCGGCCCCUGGCGUGGUGGAGCUGCUCAUCCAUGGGGUGGCUGCGUCGGGCGGAUCGCGCGGGAUGGCCCCGGUUGGAUCCCGCGGGAUCUGGCGCUGGGGUUCCUUCCAGCGGCGAGGGCUGGGUUCUGCAGGAGCCGCGGGCGGCCGGCGCUGCCGUGCUUAGGGGUGGCAGUGCUGGUGGCGUGGUUGUGGCGGUGGCGGUGCGUGUGCGUCCUGGGGUCCGGCCGGGUCUCCGUCCCGGCUGGGGCGUGCGGCGCGGGCAGGCUGUUUGUGGUUCUUCCUUGGAUGCGGUGGCGGUGGUUCUCUCCCCCUCUUCGACGAACGCGCGCCGUCAGUGGCCUCUCGCUAGUUGGUGCCAAUGGCCGUGGUGGGGCGAAGCAGAGUGCUUCGGGUGGGAAGGCCAGUAGGAUGGGGGCUUCGACGAGGUCGAGCCGCCCGUCGCCGUGCUUGUUGGUUGCUGACUCGGUGCUCUGAGGCGGGACGGUCGUUGCAGUUUUCGGCGAUGGUUGGGGUUUGCACUGGCCAAAGCUUGCUCCUUUGAUGAUUCCAGGACGGUCUGGAUGCAGGGCGGCGGCCCUGGCGGUGGGAGGCGUGUUGAUCUUGGGCGGAUUGCGCGGCUCGGGUGCGGGCGGGCAGACAUGGCUGCUCGGGCGGCAUGGAUGCGGGUGGUUGGCGGAGUGAGGUUGCGUUGGAGGGAUUGGUGCACCGGGGUACAUCACUUGUCCAGUCUCUGUACUGGCCGACGGUGGCGGCGUCCGUGGACGUCGUACCCUCCCUGUAGGCUCCGUCGCGGUGCUCCCUCUCCCUUCAGGUUACUCCGGGUGAAAACUUGAUCCGCGGGAUCAGACGGUGGCGGCUUUGGUCGUUCCCUUGUUGGAGGCAUCGUUUUGGAGUCCUCGCUCCGCCGUUGGCCGUCUCAUUUCUCCUCGGAGGAUUGCUCAUGGUGAUCUCCGUCGGCUCUAAGCGACGCUUCUUUGUUCAUCUUUUUGGUGCUUUGUAGUCGUUGGAGUGGUGGGUUGGUGCCCGGCACCCUUGUAUCUAGCCUUGGGUGUGUGGUGUGGUAGUGGGGUGUGUGUUUGUAUCGGCUCGCGGUUGUAAUCGGUGGUGCUUUAUAAUAUAAAGCGGGGUAAACCCUUUUUCGUAAUGCAUUGUCAAAUCUUGCACUAUUUUGAACCACCACAAGAUAAGCAAGCUGAGUUGGCCCCAUGCCUCUUGCCAGUCGCUGGCGUCCACCUCAAAAUCUAUAUCAAUAUAUUUUUUGUGUCGCAUGACUCAUAUAGUAUUGGUCUAAUUGAUGGUCAAAGUUAAAUCCCAAUGUGCAUGUGUGCUUUAUAAACUAUAAUAGCGAGAGUACAUGUGUAUUAUGGGAUGAUGUAAAAUUUUAUUUUGGAGAUACAAAAUAUCUUUUCCCUCAUUGCAAAGUAUAAAUGAAAAAUCGGCACAACAAUAUUAUAUAGACCCAUCACAACAAUAGCAUGCUUCACACCGGGUGGGUCCCAUGUAAAAAUACAUUUGUAAAUACCUCGAAAACGCAUAUGUGUAUUAUUUAUUCUGCAGAUUCCACAUGUUCACUCACAACAAAUUGUUGAAGAAUUCCGUGCAACUUAGAAACCAGCGCAUGCAACAAUGCGAGCACAACAUUUGUGUUAAGACUCCCAAAAUUACAUUGCAUUGUAGCAUGUCACACAUGUGUAUGUAGUAUGACGCAAAUGAGUUCACGGCAUACCAAAACAAUGAAUGGAAACUACAAAAAAUCCCAUAAAUCUAAAAUUUUACAACCAAAAUUUUUGUCUUUUUAGGGAAACCAAUUUGGUGGACACCGACCUCACCUCAUCAAGCAUGUUCUAAUAUUCUAGUUAGUUUAGAGUUUUGGAUUAAGUUAAAGUUGCUCUAGUAUUAUACCACAACAAAAGGGAAAGAAAUGGGGGAAAACAAAGUAGAGCAGAGCGCGGUGGGGCAGCUUACUUGGAUCUAAGCCGACCAAUAUCAAUCGAAUUGCCCUCCUAAAUCCUGGUUAUUCAAGCCAACCCACAAUUGAGGGGCAACUAAAAUAGAAGUUGAGACUAUGGUGCAAGAACAGAAAAGCCGCCCUAAGCCAUUGGAUUGGAUAUGGAUGGCACAUGAUCUGGUUGAGAGAUCUCAGGCCACUUAAUGUAUACUUUAUGAAAACCCCCUAUUAACAGUUAGGUAUAAAACAAAACAUUUGCAGUGACCACCUAAAGUAUCUCAACUCCCAAUCCAAUAGUGGAGUUCAGCGACCAUUCACAGAUUUGCAGUUUUGUCCAAUGACCAUUUAUAGAACUAGAUCAUUUCCCGCACGUUGCGGCGGGUAGCCUAUAAAUUAAUUGUGUAAAUAUGUACUUGGUUUGACCUAGAAGAGAUAACCAAAAGUAUAAUCUUAUCUCAAAACUGUGACUCCUUGGUCUGGCAGUUUGAGGCUUCUGGACAAUACUCUUCUAGCUCCUUAUACACCAUUGUCAAUUUUAGAGGGGUAAUCCCAGUUUUCCUACAUCUAGUGUGGAAACUCANNNNNNNNNNNNNNNNNNNNNNNNNNNNNNNNNNNNNNNNNNNNNNNNNNNNNNNNNNNNNNNNNNNNNNNNNNNNNNNNNNNNNNNNNNNNNNNNNNNNNNNNNNNNNNNNNNNNNNNNNNNNNNNNNNNNNNNNNNNNNNNNNNNNNNNNNNNNNNNNNNNNNNNNNNNNNNNNNNNNNNNNNNNNNNNNNNNNNNNNNNNNNNNNNNNNNNNNNNNNNNNNNNNNNNNNNNNNNNNNNNNAGGAUUCAUUGCUUUGGCUACUAUUUUUACAAUAAAAUGAGGAGUGGGGAUAAUCUGUUGAAAAGAAAUCUUUAAGAAACCUAAACACUAUGUAUUUUGCACAUGCAAAGAGACAGUUAGUCACCUCCUUUUUGAAUGUGUAGUAGCUAAAGAAAUUUGGUCCACUCCUAGCUCUAUGCUAGGAAGAUCUAUGGGCAGUAAUCGAGAAUCCAUUGCAUCCCUAUGGGUUGCUGACAAGCUGUUAGACCAUGUUAAUACCAUUUGCUCUGCUAUUCUCUGUGCUAUAUAUAUGAAAAUGUAGAAAUGACAUGAUCUUUAACGGUGUGGUAUGGAUUUCCGUCUAGCAGAUUUGGUGGCUAGUCAUAAAGCUCGUCAAGAAAGGGAAUCUAAUCUACAAGGAGCACAUGUUGGCUCCGCUGGAAGCCUUCGAAGGACAUCUACAACAACUGAUCAGACGCCCUUUCCUGCUCAAGUGGGGGUGAAUCUGAUGGACUGCACUCCUGCCAACCUCAAAUGACAGGAACCGCCUACGUGGCUGAAGCACAAGCGGCCUCGGCGGAGAGCCCGGUCCUCACGCUCGACUUCAACAUCCUGGCUUCGCUAGUUUGCAUGUCAUAGAGCUAGGCCGGCAUGGUUUGGCACUGGUAGAUGUAAGUCGUUAGCCUUUUGCAGCGUGGACUACAAAAGAUGGAUUUCCCUGUGUGGUUUUUAAGUACUUUGUGUAAGUCCUCGUGUUGGAGGGUGUUGUGGCUUUGGGUGUGUGAACUGCCUGCAAGGCUUUGUGGUACUUGGGUUUUUGUGGCUUCCUUUCCUUAAUACUCCCUCCGUUCCUAAAUACUUGUCUUUCUAGGUAUUUCAAAUGACUAUCACAUACGGAUGUAUGUAGACAUAUUUUAAAGUAUAGAUCCACUCAGUUUACUCCGUAUGUAGUCACUUGUUGAAAUGCCUAGAAAGACAAGUAAGGAACGGAGGGAGUAAAAUGGGAGCCGGGGAACUCCUCCCUUUCAUCUAAAAAGAAAAGCUCCCCUUGCCAAAAAAAAAACAUUUUUAAGCCAACAAUAGCACGCGCCCGAACUGGACCAGCCUGCGCCGCUAGCCCAGGCCCAGCAAGCAACUUGUCCUCUCGGGCGAGCGGCUGGGCCUCUGAGCACAGCCCAGCUCGGCCCCGAUACGCGCUCUCGCCUGGGUCAGUGUCGCCUCGUGCCCUAGCGGAAAACAGCAGCAGGCGUUCCGCAUCUCAACCUACUCGCCGCCGCCCGCCGCCCGCCGCCGCUAAUCUCAUCAACGUCCGUUCGUCGGGGGAGGAGGAGAGGAGAAGAGAAGAGAUGAAGCCGGUGGUGGGGAUCGUGGUUUCGAACAAGAUGCAGAAGUCGGUGGUGGUGGCGGUGGACCGCCUCUUCCACAACAAGGUGUACAACCGCUACGUGAAGCGCACCUCCAAGUUCAUGGCGCACGACGAGGCCGAGACCUGCAACAUCGGCGACAGGGUACGUCAGUAACCCAAACCGCCUGCUCCCUCCCUCUGUUGUCAACUGUCACCUUCGAUGUGAUUGUGAUGUGCCGAAUCCAGACCCAUUUCUGCAAUCUUUCUUGCAUAUUAUCGACCUGUAUCGAGUAGACCGAGCUGGACUUUCUUUGUCAAAUGAGAGUCAAGUUCAGAGAGUUCAGAUUAGGGGUCUGGGAUUAUUAUUAAAAGUGACUAGUGAAGUUUUCAAAUGAGUAUGAUGAAAUUCAGAGUUCAGAGUAGGGAUCUAUCUGGUAAUGUCAAGUGAGUAUGAAAUUUUAUUGGUUUAGAGUUCAGAAAAGAGGGCUUCCAGUUUUACUCGUGGUUAGGGGGGAUUUGGUCCAUACAGCAGAAGCUUAAUUGCAGGUUCGAACGAAUAAAUAGCACAAUUGAGUCCGUCGUCUUCUCUCAGCUCACCGGUUGUCUGUCUUGCUCUACUUGUACAAUUUGCUAUGCCCGUGUCAGCGGCAGCCAUACCCGUGUGCAGCGACAACCUAUAAUAUUAUCAGCUGAAGCUAGCUAGAUUGAGCAGUUUAUUUCCUUGCAUAACUCUCUUCUGUAAACUUCAAAUAAGACAGAUCUGGUUGACUUUUUUCGGCUUGUAAGCUCAAGUUUCAUUAAGCUAACUAGUUUCUUGGAGAAACCCAAUUAUUCUUUGCCAUCUUAGAGUAAACAAUAUUGCCUCUUCAAUACUUUAGUGAUGACGGUUGUUGUUACGGUAAUGGAAUUUUUUUCUCCUUCCAUCCUUCAUAACAUUCUAGGAUACCAUGGUUUCAUUUGGAAAUAUUGCUUGGACUUGGUGUUGUAUGCAUAUCAGUUCAGUUGAGGCGGUAGGUUACUCUGCAAUUUGCUCAUAAUAUGUUUUCUGCUGGACAAAUUUUGCUUUCAGCACCAAGAGAUCCACAUUACUUAGGAGCGGUUUGGUUUUAUAAAGAAGCUUGUGUGACUGCAUAUAAAUUUGUCGAAUAGACUGAUGAGUUUGCGUCGUUUUGUCCUGUGGUGUAGUCUAUUUAUCUGCGUACUUACUGGAGACUAGUAUUCUUUUUGCACUAUGAUUCAUUUAUUCACUCAAGCUGUAACAUAACGUAAACUAGAACAAUUUUCUUCUUCUUAUAAAUGAUGGUUGCAUCAAUAUUCUCCAGGUUAGGCUGGAUCCUUCUAGGCCGUUGAGCAAGAACAAGCAUUGGAUUGUUGCUGAGGUUCUUCGCAGAGCUAAGAUGUAUGUUGCGCCGCCACCUGCGCCAAAAGCUUCUGGUGCUACAACUCAACAAACUGGUACCAAGUCAUCUGCCUGAAGAUCCUCAGAGCCCAACACAAAUGCCUGUUCUUUACUGACUGACGGCAUGUCCAGAGAACCAGCUCAUCCCACUGAAUAAGCAAUGAACGGCUGGUACAAAAUGGUGGUUUAUUUGGUGCUGAUCAUGUUCAGCUUGAUAGUUUAUUUGUUUGUGAUCCGAAACUUGGUGAUCGGGAGUUUUAGUUGGACCCUAUACAUUCGAGUUUGCCCCAGUAAAAUUCAUAGGGCAACUUAACCAUUUUCCUCAUAAUAGUCGUUCAUGCCGUGGUGGUGAUCAUGCCGGAGCUGGGGAGAGAGCUGCCGGCCAUUCGAUGUCACUGGUAGUGGUAGCUAGCUAGUGUGCUCAUUGUGGCUGUUGUUGCUGUCCACCGAUGACAUUAAAUUCCUGGCAGCAGAAUUUCAAGCUUGCUCUCUUGUGAAACGUUUGAUGAAUGUACCGCACGAAGCCUGUCCACCGAAUAUAUGCUCUUGGUUAGAUCUAUCAUCAUGGUGUGAUCCCAGAUCUUAUGCGGGUAUACUGAUGCUACUUUCUGAUUAAAUAUGUUGGUUGUGCACCGCGAAAUAUGUGAUUGUGUGUGGGAUAUGAUGAAAAGAAGAGCUAUUCGUAUUGCAAAAAUAGUUCAUCUCUCUAUCUAUUUGAUCUUUGAAAAUAGGGAGAAUUUGUUUGGAAGAACAGUUCAGUCACAGUUAAUGUUGAGCCAACCAUUAUAUAUAAUUUGCUGGUUGGGCUAUGAACCUAAUUUAAGCAUAUAUAUAUAAGCUGCAUGAUUUUCUAGCUUUAAUGCGGCAUGAUUUUCCAGCUGAAAAUAGUUGGAUGGUUUAGUCAUCACGUUAGAUUACUGGAUCUAAAUAUUAUGUAAUCUUUUCAGAGCAACAUACCACCAAAGGUUUCGUGGUGUAGUUGGUUAUCACGUCAGUCUAACACACUGAAGGUCUCCGGUUCGAACCCGGGCGAAGCCAUCUAAUUUAUUUUUCUUUUUUUAUUCUCGCAUUUUCCAAUGAGUAAAAAAAAGAAAAAAAAAAUAUUUGGCCCAUACAGGUCUCGAACCUGUGACCUUCGCGUUAUUAGCACGACGCUCUAACCAGCUGAGCUAAUAGGCCUCCUUGUUGCUUGAACUGUUUUUCAUUUUUCAUAUUCGUAUUAACUGAAUAAAACUCGCGCACAGCCCCCCUUAUGAUGAGAAGAAAAGAGUAAGAAGAUCACUGGAGCCUCUUUUGGCUGCUAAGCUGAUGCUAUGAAUCAAAAGAAAAUCCAUCUCUGCUCCAACCGAUCUGCGAAAUGCAACAACAAAUCUUGGUCCUUGGCUAUCUAGAUUCCCGUUUCACUGCCCACGUUUGUAAGUAUUUCCUAGCUAUUGUGGCCUUUUUGCCAUCUGUAUCUGUGAAUCUGUGAUGGAUAUGUAUGCAAAUCAUCUUGCAACAACUACAUAGUGAUAACGGAAAUAUGUGCAAGCGGGCAAGUAAUGACAGCUACAAAUACCCACUAUAAGCGAUUCAAGAGAAAAGACUCGCCCUGCUACAGAAGCGAUGACACUUGUUGAGUAAGUAGGAACAGAGCAGCAUGAAUGGCGCGAAAUUCGUGCAGUUACACUUGCAGACGAACAAAACAAAAGCACCCGACCAGCUAAGGUUUAGAAAAUUCAGCAAGUGGAAUCUUUUUAUUCCAGAAGAAAGGAUGGUUGCAGGAAAAAGAAUCUAAAAAAAAGGGGAAAUUUGGAAAGUAUUGGUGAAGUGUUUUUUUUUUUUGUAUUCCAGAAGAAAGGAUGGUUGCAGGAAUUGUUUUUAAAAAUAAUCUGGAGAAAAGCAAAAAAGAAAAAAGAAAAUUGGGGCGAGAGAGACUCGAACUCUCGACCUCAGGAUCACUCGCUUUAGCUAUGAGACCUACGCGCUAGCCAACUGCGCCACCGCCCCUUUGUAGUGACUUCUCAAAUUAACCUUAUUGAACCUUGGUAUCUCUCAUAUGUGCUUUCAUCGAUACAGCAAUGAUCAAUCAGUUCGUGGAGCCUACUUCGGUAUAGGUCGUGCCAUCAAAGUGUACUUUCGGGGCACAAACAACGUAUGUGAUCAAGCCUAUGCACUUGUUUUGUUCAAUUUCAUGUCCCAGCAAAUUAAACAAAACUAGUCAGGAAUGAAAACAGAUAGUGGCCGGCAAGCGGUCAUAACAAAAUAUUUUUUUCAUAACAUGAUCCAUGCAUGGAUACAUCGAUCCCGUCUCACCUCACCGCAUCAAGAUAAACAUUAAUCAACGAUGCAAUACUCACCUUGGAGGAGAGAAGAUCAUGGAAGAACGUUGUUUCGUUUAUAUCCUUAUUAGCAAGGCUGAUUAGUGUGUUGAAGGAGUAGCAUACGGAACAUCGAAACUGUAGAAGUGCAUGCUCUAGCCAAUACAACCAAAAGACCGAUCUGAUGGAAGAGACUAGGCAGUACAUUAUACGUCAACACUCCCCCUCACGUGUGCUUCCCUCAGGCCUAAACGUGGACCGAAAGUGGGCUGCAAUUUAAUUGCGUCAGCCGGGUCUGAACUCAAGACCUCUUGGCUCUGAUACCAUGUAGAAGUGCAUGCUCUAGCCAAUGCAACCAAAAGACCGAUCUGAUGAAAAAGACUAGGCAGCACAUUAUACGUCAACAGAAACAAAGCAGGUCCCUUCAUUAAUUUACUGCAAAGGCAAUGCAUUUUGUUUAUUGGGCUACCAGGAGCAGCAGAGUGGAAACAAGUACUAGCAUGAAGCGUCCAAGUAAGUAGUGGGCCCCUGCUGUAAGUUUGAAACGCUGUGUCACCCUUGCCAACGUUGAAAAUAAUCGACCCGACGUGGACAGCAACAAGUCCUCUCUCCUUGUCGUCCCUUCUCCGGCGACAAGUCGAGCCUCGGGUAUGACUACGAAUCGAGCCGCGGCAGGAAGCUCUGAUUUUGGGUUGUUCUGUCAAUUUAGAGGAGGAGCUCGCCAGUAGGAAUGAUUUGGGUUGUGCUUCGGCAAUUUGUUUCAUUAAUUAGUCUGGGAAUACUAUACGUGAGAUUCUGAAUUUUAUUGUUUUAUGCUUAUGUUCAGAAUGUAGGUGCCAAUGCUUUGGAGUACUUGGGCAUCCACCAUGAACUUGAGAUUGAAGAGGGGAAAGGUGUGGCCGCUCCCGGGAGUAGAAAAUCCAGUCUCAAUUACAAUCCACUGAAAAAUAAAUUUCUGUGACUUCCCUAUGCAUGGUGCAUCAAACAUCAUUUGUUGAUUCCUACAAGCUUGUAGAAUUAAAGAUGUCAUGACACCCCAAUCCUACCAUUUUGCUAUUCACAUGUCAAUCAAAUCCUAUGAAUCAAAGAGGCCUUAAUUCAGGUUGUCUCUGUUCGGCAGGAGCGGAUGGUAUAAAUUGUAACACAAUGAUUAAUCAUUAUGUUGAUAUUUUUUAAAUGAAUCAUUUAAUAUAUAGACGUGCAAAUAUAUCAAGUAAGCAAGAGAAUGUAUCAUUAUGUUGAUGUUAAUAUAUAGACGUGCAAAUAUAUGUUGAACCUAAAAGCAUAAAAAAAAUCAAUGAAGCAUCUCCAACGCUUGCUUAAUCUCGGUUUCUCAGUAAUUUUUUCAGUACCAGUUUAAAAUACUCUCCGUGAAUAAAUAUAAGAGCGUUCAGAUCACUAAAAUAGUGUUCUAAUUGCUCUUAUAUUUCUUUACAGAGGGAGUAGUUGAUUGAUUAAAAUAUCAGCUAUAGCUUCCAUCAAACCGUUCUUUUUUCUCACGAAUCCGAAAAUUGUCAUUACUCGUCUUUGACCUGAACUUUCCUUUUGUAAACUUUGCAGUUAUAGCGCAGUACAAAUUUUUGGAGCAUCGUCCAAAUCAAAAAAAAAAAAAAAAUCUCAUUUUACAUGUAUCCAGAUGGUCUGAAAUUCUAAACCGUAUCAGGUUUAAUUUUGUGGACCACUCUCUCAUCCUGUUUAAGCAACUCAGCCUAGAUUUUGCAUGUACAAACACUUCAUUUCAUCUCAUCCAUGCGUAAAUUUUAAAUUGUGACCUACUAUUCAAUUGAAUUUCAGGACUUUUUCGAGAUUUUGGCAUAUCAAACUUCCAGUCCCCAGCCGCCCUACUCUGUAUCACGUCGAUGUGCACUCUUGCUGCUGCGGUAGCCUUUGACAUGGGUAGCCUCUCCACACCUGCACUCGCAUAUAUUGAUACAUAGUACAUAUUUACAGAUGCACAAGGCAACCAUCCUAGCCGAUGCAAAGCAGCAAUCAGCAAGAUACUCCUAUUGCAAGGGAACUGUAGCAAGAUACACAUCGCUAUUUGGCUGAAAACAACCUUUGAAGCAAAACUUACAAUCACUCACUCAUAGAACCAGGUGUAAAGACACUUGGCAGGUUGUGGCAUCAGACCUCAGUAAGGCCCAAAAAAAUAUAAGAGCAAUGCCUUGAGUGAAUAGAAGUAGUACUCUAGAGUUAUGCUGGAACCACUAGCAGAGUAAACAAACAGAGUCCAUGGAAAAUCUUCAAGUAAGACGAGCUAAACAUUCUUUCUGCUAUAAUUAUUCUUGUAAGAAAUAAAACGCAGUCCAGAAAAUUAAGGUGAUUCAAGUGCUUGUGCUUCAACAAUGCCCUCAUCCCACCGUCCUUGAACCCACCUGAAAAGUUAUGAACAGAGUGAGAUAAACAGCUGGGAAAGUGACACAAAGUAAGUAUCGCACAAAACCAGAAAGCCCCAUGAUCUUUGCAACCAUACUGAAAACACAUUUAACAAGCCAAGCUUCUAUAUUUAUUUCAUAACCAUCGACAACAAUCCCACUCAUUUAUGGCCAUACAUCUCAAUUGCAUUCUCAUUCUAACCAAGAUAAGAUGUCAUAGCACAGAUGCUUAACAGGCUGGCUCAGUCUUUGUCUGCAGUCUGACAUAUCACACAGAGUUUACAAAGAGAUGUAGCUCAAUUGCACAGGAAGGAGAAUUCACUUUAACCCAACCCCAAUAAGAGAAGUAAAAUAUGGGAUAUUGAUCGCAAAUAUUGAACGUCACAGUCACCUGCCAUAACCAUGUGACAGAUUUGCCAGUGAAGAUGAAACCUGCCGUGCGGCACUAGAACCUGAGAAUUAUAAUUAUAAGGUACAGCUGCUUAAAACACUUGUCAAACUAAAAAAAUAAAAGACACGCUCUUACGAUUUGACACGUCACCUCUCUUAUAAUAUAAGUUCACUUCACAAUUUUGUAUCAUUUAUCUAUACAAACUAAUCUACAACUUUACGGUUAUCACGAAAAUUUAAUUCAAUCAUGUCCAGAGGUUGAAAUUGUGGUACAAGAUAAAUGGGCUACAGUGAAGAAAAAGAGAGUAAUGCACAUGAGAAGAGGUUGAAUUCAGAUUGCAUAACUUGUGAUCUACCCAACCAAUCUUCGUAUACUUCUGAUCUUUUUGGUAUGGUAAUGAAACUAUAUACUCCCUCCAUCAAGAAAUAUAAGAGUGUUUAGAUCACUACUUUAGUGAUCUAAAUGCUCUUAUAUUUCUUUACAGAGGGAGUACAAUCUAAUAAGAAUAUAGUUUGGAAUCUACAAUCUACCUAGACAUCCAUUUUCAAAAUGAAGACUGGAAAUUGGGCACAACAUACUAAUAGCUACUCCCUCCGUUCCAAAAUAGAUGACCCAAUUUUGUACUAAAGUUAGUACAAAGUUGAGUCAUCUAUUAUGGAACGGAGGGAGUAAAAGAUAGGCACACCAAGAUAUAUUUGUCCUGUGUUCCAUCAUUUCUCUCAAGUUAGGCUGGAAGCUAAAUACAGGCAACACAGAUUGUUGUGCAACAAGACCCAAGUUAGCACCAACUGAAUGUUUUUAUUAUUUCCAGCCGCAACUAAAGGAAAUUUCAUUUCAUUUCAGGAUAACAAAAGAGCCUUACAAUGCAGCAAGGUAAACUUUGUGCAGUAUCAGCUGAUUGAUAUCCAAAUUCAUUUCUAAUAACAAUAUCGUAACCUCACCUUUCAUACACGCACAUUCCCUUUUCUUACUUCUUCUUCCCCUUUCCUUGACCGCCCUUCGCCAAAAUGGCCCGAUGGGGCCUCCGCCUCCGCGUAAAAGCAAACUCCCCAAGCUUAUGGCCGACCUUCCCCUCGGUGAUCUUGCAACGGACGUGAGUCUUGCCGUUGUAAAUGAGAACGGUGGAACCGACGAACUCCGGCAGAAUGGAAGACCUGCGGGACCAGAUCUUCUUGCCGUUGAGAUUCUCCCUCUUGUUCUUUAUUCUUUGCAGGAACGCGUCGACGAACGCUCCCUUCCAUAGAGGCCUUGAGCUGCACACACACACACACAGCAGGGCAGGACAUACAUUCGGUUCAAUUUCAAUGUUGAGCGGAUCAGCUAGUUAUCUGUGUUUGCACAUACGUAGUGAGCUGAGCUUGUGAUGGUGGUUACCUGAAGGCGCGAGUGACUGGUCCGAAGGCGGAGAGCAGCGGAGAUGUGGCGUGCUGGGCCCUGGGCGCCUGACCAGAUCGCGCGCGCGGUGGAACAAACCAACAAAUCAGAUCAACAUCGGCUCAGGAACAACCAAGAUUUGCAUUUGAGCAAGGGGCAAGAGUUGGAGGGGGAGGCGGCACCUGAGAGAUGGCCGCGGCGGCGGCGGGGAGGGCGUGGCCGGACCUGGCGAACCUGGAGGCGAUGAGAGAAGCAAUCGCCAUGGCUGCUGCGCUCAGGCGUGGGAUCGGCUCCCCGUAGGAGCGGGUGGCGGCGGCGUGGAAAGACGGAGAGGAGGAGGAGGAGCAAAUCUUCCUUACCUGGAACCACACUGUAAGCGGGCCGUGGCCUUUGGCCCAACCCGUCAGAUGAAGAUGGACCAGGCCUAUUUUCCUGUGUGGAAAAAAAAGGAGCUAAUCUUUGCGAUGAAGCCCCUGGACUUCGAGUAAAUUUGUAUGGCUUUAUUAACAAAGAAUUUGUUGAACUUAGCAUUGAUGGGCACAACUACCUCGCCUGGAGUUCGGAUGUUGAAAUCGUACUGCAAGAAAGAGGUUUGGGAAACACAGUCGCCGAAGGUGCAGUCGAGGGUACGCCCCCGACAAGGACCGAGAAUUUGCAGGUUCUGCAUUUUCCAGGGCAUCAUCUCUACACUAUUCUCAAGAAUGAGUACCUGUAGGAGAGGGACCCCAAGACUCCUUGGAUUUCCCUGAAGGAUAGACCAGAAACUCAGGUACACCAUUCAACCUCGUGCAGAGCAUGAGUGGAUGAACUUGAGAUUCAUGGACUUCAAAGCUGUCGUUGAGUAUAAGUCGGCACUGCAUAGGAUUUGCACAUAAUUUGGCAAAUGGUGUAUGUUUCUUGACCAGAAUUUUGCUAUGUUUCUGGUGGUGCACUUUGUUCUCAAAUUUGAGCAAACCAAACUCAUGUUUGCACCAAGUUUGGGCAAAGCACCCCCUCACUUUGUCCUAUGCACAACUUUCACAUCCUUUGUACAAUCCCAUGUAUUUUUAUAUGCAUUUGGGCCUGCUCAAACCUUGCAUUCUAGAAAUGCAAAUGGUUUUCCAAUUUGUUGCUCCCAACAUCAUUUAGUUCCUGGUUACACUUGUAGCCUUUCGAUUCUUGUUUCGAUCAUAUCUAGAGUUCUGUAACUCCAUUUGUGAUGUCCUUUAUAUGCAUUUGUAGUGGAAUUAUGUGUAUCCAUGGUCAUGCAUAGUUAAGAACUUGUACCUAUUGUUCUGUCCAGAAACAUUACAACAAUUAAUUUGCAUAUGAAGUUUCACUUGAUUUCUACCACACUUGGAUCAAGGCUUCAUUUAACUUUGCUAAGUUGUAGGUUUCCAUGUUAAGACCAUUAACUUGCCAUGCAUCAUGUUGAUUGUGCAUUAUGCCAUGCCUUGUUGUUUACCAUAUCGUCUGCUUAUUUCCAGUUUUGCUUUUUUCCCAAUAGCUCUCAGUAACGACACGUAGUGCGAGGAUUUGCUUGACUACGCUUCGUGGUUUCGAUCUUCUUCAAAACGGGAUUCCGGGCAGGAAUGAUCUUUACCUUGGAAAACAUUACUAGCUUUGUUUACUAGAUGUCCUGAUGCUAUUGUUUGGUCUCGCUACCUACCACUUGUUUGCAAGCCUCCCAUUUGCCACUUGUCUAGAAAUUGUGUUGCUUAUUUCUCUUGCCUCUUAGGCAUAUUUGCUUCUUAUCCGUACUUGGAUUGUGCCUUGUGGAUGAUGCUUGUAAUGUAAUGUUGGGUCAUGUGGCCUUUGAUUGGUGAUAUAGCUAUGUAUUACAUUUGUAUGUCAUAUGUUUAUCCUUGUAUCUCGAGUAGGGCGUUUCGGUGCCCAUGCUCAUCUGCACCCGGUUAAAAAAACAUAAAAAAUUCAAAAUAAUUUCAAAUAAUUCCAAUUUUUUUUGUGCGGUAGACAAUUUGAUGCGUGAGGCCCGCUCCAAAUUUCAAGUCAUUUGGACAUCUGAGAAGCUCUCAGAAAAAAAGACAAAUAGGGCCAAAACAGUACAUGAACAUUAAAACAUUUUUACAGACCCCUAAUUUGUCUUUUUUGCUGAGAGCUCCUCAAAUGUCCAAAUGAUGUGAAAAUUGGAGCGGACCUCACACAUCAAAUUGUCUACCACAAAAAAAUUAGAAUUUUUUGAAUUUUUCUAGUAUUUGUUUUGAUUUUUUUCGCCAGCACGGGUGCAGAUGAGCUCGGGUGCAUAGAUGGAUUUUCGUUGUAUCUCAUCUUUUCAUGUGUAGUUGUAUUUGUUGUGAUGUCCACCUUGUUUCUGACAUGUUACACUUGCGUGUAUGAUAUUAGUCACAUGUUGGGGCAACCGAUAUGCGCUUCUAUCCUUAGCGAGGAUUGAAAAAUGUUCAAUGAGACUAGGACCGCAUGUUGGGCGUUACACAACAGUAAGGCAAGAUGCAUCUGAAAUAGUCACACACUUUGCGUGGGAUAUGAACGUGUUGCUAAAGUCAGUCAUUUACCAACUACAGCCAUUAAAACAACUCCCAUAACAUGGGCUAUUGUGGUCUAGGGUUAGAGAAGGGCCGAGGGAGGCUUCGGAUACCUCCUAGUCAUGGUUGAAAAGUUCAACAAGUUGAAAGAGGCAAAGCCGGUAACUAGGCAAGCUAUCGAGCCGGCCAGCAAGUUCCUAUCAGGUGUCCUACACCGUUACGGCAUGCCCCAUAGCAUCAGCACGGACAACAGGAGGAAUUUCACGUCCAAACAGUUCAAAUAUUAUUGCGCUUCAUGCAGCAUUACAUUAAACUUUGCUUCUGUGGCGCAUCCGCAAUCCAAUGGGUGUAUCGAGCAGGCAAAUGGGUUGUUCCUUAGUGGAUUAAAAAUGGUGUUGGUCACAUCAAAGGAAGCCGACGGGAAGUGGAUGAACGAGCUCGAUUCUGUCCUGUGGAGCCUCGCGACUACGCUAACUGACCUACCGACUACACUCCUUUUAUGGUAUAUGCAUCAAAGCCAUCCUUCUCAGUGACAUCAAACACGAUGCUCCCCGACUACAUCGCUACAUGGAGCAUGGCGCUGAGCUGGAGUGUCAGGAUGACAUAGAUCCCCUGGAGGAAGCACGGGGGAUCGCAGUAGCCAGAUUGGAUAUCUACUAGCAUCAACUUCGCCGCUAUCAAGCGCGUGAGGUAUGAGGCUAGGCAUUCAACAUCGGCGACCUCAUUUUACGUAUGAUACAGGACACGAAGGGGCUUGACAACCUUUCUCCGCCAAGGUACGGACCCUUGAUCAUGCACAAAGUGCUAUAGAAUGGAGCAUACUGUAUUCGAUGCAUUGAGACCGUCUUCCUCGCGACGAACCCCUGGAACAUUGCCCUGCUAUGUUGCUUUUAUGCUUAGUUCUUUUUAUUUUUAGUUUAGAUUAUUGUUUAGCUCAAUCCAGACAUUAUUGUAUGAAUUAAAUGAAGUUUAUCUGUCCCCAAGUCGAAGAAUCAUAUAUGCUUGCUACCUCUUGAGCACUGCGUUGUUUUUUCCCUUGAAGAGGAAAUGGUGAUGCAGUAAAGUAGCGUAAGUAUUUCCCUCAGUUUUGAGAACCAAGGUAUCAAUCCAGUAGGAGACCACGCUCAAGUCCCUCGCACCUACACAAACAAAUAAGAACCUCGCAACCAACGCGAUAAAGGGGUUGUCAAUCCCUUUACGUUCACUUACGAGAGUGAGAUCUGAUAGAUAUGAUAAGAUAAUAUUUUUGGUAUUUGUAUGAUAAAGAGAAAUAAAGAUGCAAAGCAAAAUAAAAGGCAAUGGAAAUAGCUAAGUGUUGGAAGAUUAAUAUGAUGGAGAAUAGACCCGGGGGCCAUAGGUUUCACUAGUGGCUUCUCUCAAGAGCAUAAGUAUUACGGUGGGUGAACAAAUUACUGUCGAGCAAUUGAUAGAAUUGACCAUAGUUAUGAAAAUAUCUAGGUAUGAUCAUGUAUAUAGGCAUCACGUCCGUGACAAGUAGACCGACUCCUGCCUGCAUCUACUACUAUUACUCCACACAUCGACCGCUAUCCAGCAUGCAUCUAGAGUAUUAAGUUCAUAAGAACGGAGUAACGCUUUAAGCAAGAUGACAUGAUGUAGAGGGAUAAACUCAUGCAAUACGAUAUAAACCCCAUCUUGUUAUCCUCGAUGGCAACAAUACAAUACGUGCCUUGCUGCCCCUGCUGUCACUGGGAAAGGACACCGCAAGAUUGAACUCAAAGCUAAGCACUUCUCCCAUUGCAAGAAAGAUCAAUCUAGUAGGCCAAACCAAACUGAUAAUUCGAAGAGACUUGCAAAGAUAACCAAUCAUACAUAAAAGCAUUCAGAGAAGAUUCAAAUAUUGUUCAUAGAUAAUCUUGAUCAUAAACCCACAAUUCAUCGGAUCUCGACAAACACACCGCAAAAGAAGAUUACAUCGAAUAGAUCUCCACGAGAAUCGUGGAGAACUUUGUAUUGAGAUCCAAAGAGAGAGAAAAAGCCAUCUAGCUAAUAACUAUGGACCCAAAGGUCUGAGGUAAACUACUCACACAUCAUCGGAGAGGCUAUGGUGUUGAUGUAGAAGCCCUCCGUGAUCAAUGCCCCCUCCGGCAGGACGCCGGAAAAGGCCCCAAGAUGGGAUCUCACGGGUACAGAAGGUUGCGGCGAUAGAAUUAGGUUUUCGUGGAUGCCUCUGAUGGUUUGGGGGUACGUAGGUAUAUAUAGGAGGAAGAAGUACGUCGAUGGAGCAACGUGGGCCCCAUGAGGGUGGAGGGCGUGCCUGGGGGGGGGGGGUAGGUGCGCCCCCUGCCUCGUGCUUUCCUCGUUGCUUUCUUGACGUAGACUCCAAGUCCUCUGGAUCACGUUUGUUCCGAAAAUCACGUUCCCGAAGGUUUCAUUCCGUUUGGACUCCGUUUGAUAUUCUUUUUCUGCGAAACACUGAAAUAGGAAAAAAAACAGCAAUUUGGGCUGGGCCUCCGAUUAAUAGGUUAGUCCCAAAAAUAAUAUAAAAGUGUAUAAUAAAGCCCAUUAAACAUCCAAAACAGAAUAUAAUAUAGCAUGGAACAAUCAAAAAUUAUAGAUAUGUUGGAGACGUAUCAAGCAUCCCCAAGCUUAAUUCCUGCUCGUCCUCGAGUAGGUAAAUGAUAAAAACAGAAUUUUUGAUGUGGAAUGCUACUUGGCAUAAUUUUCAAUGUAAUUAUCUUAAUUGUGGUAUGAAUGUUCAGAUCCGAAAGAUUCAAGACAAAAGUUUAAUAUUGACAUAAAAAUAAUAAUACUUCAAGCAUACUAACUAAGCAAUUAUGUCUUCUCAAAAUAACAUGGCCAAAGAAAGUUAUCCCUACAAAAUCAUAUAGUCUGGCUAUGCUCUUCAUCACAUAAAGUAUUUAAUCAUGCACAACCUCGAUGACAAGCCAAGCAAUUGUUUCAUACUUUUGGUGUUCUCAAACUUUUUCAAUCUUCAGGCAAUACAUGAGCGUGAGCCAUGGACAUAGCACUAUAUGUGGAAUAGAAUGGUGGUUGUGGAGAAGACAAAAAGGGAGAAGAUAGUCUCACAUCAACUAGGCGUAUCAACGGGCUAUGGAGAUGCCCAUCAAUAGAUAUCAAUGUGAGUGAGUAGGGAUUGCCAUGCAACGGAUGCACUAGAGCUAUAAGUAUAUGAAAGCUCAACAAAAGAAACUAAGUGGGUGUGCAUCCAACUCGCUUGCUCACGAAGACCUAGGGCAUUUUGAGGAUGCCCAUCUGUAAGUGCAUCUAGUGCCCCUAAGUGAUUUUGGUGUAUUGAAGACUUAUAGGUUAAGGGACUGAUGCGUUUGUGAGUGUACACAGGUCUAUAAGUCUAUGAGGAGUUUGAUAUUUACAGAGAAAUUCGACCCCUAAAAAUGAAGUUCUUCGAUUGAAGACUUUGGAUUUCUGAAGACUUUCUGAAGACUUCGAAAGUGAAGAAAUUGGUGUGACCUUGAAGACUUGGUAUUCAUUCGAGGAACAUGAAGCGUGAAGACUUUUGUUUUCGUUGUUUCAUUUUCUUUUUCUUGAGUCACAGGAAACACCGUACUGUUAAAGGGGGUCGAGGAAAUACUAAGAAAAAAUUUCCAUGUGAUGAUCAACUCAAAAUCCUAAACCUACCAAUCCCUUCGAGUGAAGCCAUUGGAAAUCUCAUACAGUUCGGUCAAUUUCUUCAGUGACAGAGACGAAGUUAUUCUGGUCUCUAAGGAAUUUGUUCUGACUGAGGAGUUAGGAAUUCGCCAGUGUGGAUUGGCUACACAGUGAGGAACAUGAUAGCCCUGAGGAAUUUGAUAGUCAAAUUUCCGACCGUUGCUGUGCUACGCGCCAGCUGUCCCAAAAUAUCUACCCACCUAACGGUCAUAUCAUUGAAGGGCAUUUAUGUCUUAUCAUGUCGGGCUGCUCCCUAGGCUAUAAAUAGCCGCCCCCUACAACCACUAGCUGGUUGGCUGCUCCGAGAGAAACUGACACUUGUCAUUUGAGAGCAUCCCAUCCUCCGAGGACUUUGAGCGAAAAUCAUCAAGUGAGGAAACCCAAACCCAAACACCUACAAACCCAAAGUGAUUGAGCAUCACUGAAGAGAUUGAUCCUACGUGGAUCCGACGCUUGUUACCUUUGAAGACUGUGCUUCUUCCAGACGGUUAGGCGUCAUGGUCUAGAGCAUCCAAGAGGAAUUGUGGAUCGCCGAGUGACCGAGUCUGUGAAGGUUUGGAAGUCACCUGAAGACUUACCACGAGUGAUUGGGCGAGGUCUGUGUGACCUUAGCUCAAGGAGAAUACAGUGAGGACUGUGUGUCCUCAGGUUUAAAUACCUAGCCGCUCCAACCAGACAUACAAGUGAGACAGCAAUUGGAACUGGUCUACCAAAUCAUUGUCUUCACCAAGCUUACUGGUUCUAUUUCCUCAACUCUUUCAUUUCCUCAUAACUGUGUUGUGCACUUGUUCAUAUCUGUGUUUGAAGACUUUGACUGAAGACUUUCUCAAUUUCCUCAGUUCAAUUUCUUCAGUCUGUUUGUCUUCAUCCUGUGUCAUCCUGUGUUUACACUCUCUGUACUCCGUGCUUGUCUUCAUUUCGUCAUGAUGACCAUGCUUGUGUUCUGUUAUGUUUAUUUUGAUUACUUAUUCCGCUGCAAGUAGUUCUUCACUAAGGAAUUUCCUCACCAGCAAAUUCCUCAGUGAAGAAUUCAUAAAAAUCACCUAUUCACCCCCCUCUAGUCGAUAUAACGCACUUUCAAUUGGUAUCAGAGCAAGGUACUCCCUUGUUCUGUGUGAUUUUGGUUUAACCGCCUGGAGUUUUAGUUAUGUCGACCGCAGGUAUGAUCAAGGUCUCUGCUGGGUGUCCUACCUUCGAUGGGACGGACUACCCUUACUGGAAGAAUAAGAUGCGGAUGCAUCUUGAGGCAAUUGAUAACGAUCUCUGGUAUGUUGUGGAAAAUGGUGUUCCCUCAGUCACACCUUCUCUGAACGCUACUAAUGUGAAGAGAUUCAAGCAACUCGAUUCUCAAAAGAAGAACAUCAUAUGUGGUCAUCUGAGCAAAGGGCAGUAUGGAAGAGUGAGUGCUUUGGAAACUGCUAAGCUUAUCUGGGAUAGGCUGUCCAAAGUCAAUGAAGGAGUCUCAACACAGCGUGACUCUCGAGUUGACGUUCUUCGCAAUCUCUUCAACUGCUUCAAAAGACUCGACAAUGAAAAUGUUCAGCAAACCUUCGAUCGCCUCACUGACAUCUCAAAUGAGCUUCAAGCACUUGGUGCCACUGACAUCACCGACCAUGAGGUGGUGAAGAAAUUGCUGAGAUCGCUUGAUUCCUCAUUUGAUACUCUGGCAUUGAUGAUACAAGAACGUGCUGAUUACAAGUCACUUGAUCCUGCUGAUAUCCUCGAGAGGCUAAACACUCAUGAGUUCCAGCUUGCUGAGAAGAGAGAUCUCUAUGGUUUGAGCUAUGGCAGAUCACGUGCCCUGAAGGCCAAGGCUGUCUCUGAAUCUGAAGGUGAAGAUUCUGGUAGUAGCCUUGGUGAUCCUGAAGAACUGAGCCAGGAGCUAGCACUGCUCGUGAAGAAAUUCCAGAGGUUCUCAAGACGUGGUCGCUUUGGAAAAUCCUCAAGGAGCAAUGAUUCCUCAUCCAGUGACUACAAGAAGAGGCUAUGCCACAAGUGCAAGAAACCUGGUCACUACAUUCAAGAUUUUCCUCAGUGGGAAAAGGAAUCAAAGAAGAAGAAAUACAAGGAUUACAGUUCUGAUGAUGCGAAGAAGAAGAAGAAAUCUUCAAAGUCUUCAUCAUCAAAAUCCUCGAAGUCUUCGUCACACAAGAAGAGCAGCUCCAAGAAGGCUCGGGCAUUCAUUGGCAAGGAAAUGGACUCCGAGGCUGAAUCUGAGGAACAUGAGGAAGAGGAGGCAUCUGAGGAGUCUGAGCCUGGUGUGGCGAGUCUAGCUCUCGCUACUGCAUUCAUCAGCAAGUGAUACGUCUCCAACGUAUCUAUAAUUUAUGAAGUAUUCAUGCUAUUAUAUUAUCCAUCUUGGAUGUUUUAUGGGCUUUACUAUGCACUUUUAUAUGACUUUUGGGACUAACCUAUUGACCCAGAGCCCAGUGCCAGUUUUUGUUUUUUCCCUUGUUUCAGUGUUUCGAAGAAAAGGAAUAUCAAACGGAGUCGAAACGGAAUGAAACCUUCUGGAGAAGUUAUUUUCGGAAAGAAAGCAACCCGGGAGACUUGGAGUCCACGUCAAGAAAGCAAUGAGGAAGGCACGAGGCAGGGGGGCGCGCCCUCCACCCUCAUGGGCCCCUCGUGGCUCCCCUGACAUACUUCUUUCACCUUAUAUAUAUAUAUAUAUAUAUAUAUAUCCAUAUACCCUAAAAUGACCGGGGAGCAGAAUAAAUCGGGAGUUCCGCCGCCGCAAGCCUCUGUAGCCACCAAAAACCAAUCGGGACCCUAUUCCGGCACCCUGCCGGAGGGGGGAUCCCUCACCGGUGGCCAUCUUCAUCAUCCCGGCGCUCUCCAUGAUGAGGAGGGAGUAGUUCACCCUCGGGGCUGAGGGUAUGUACCAGUAGCUAUGUGUUUGAUCACUCUCUCUCGUGUUCUUGAUUUGGCACGAUCUUGAUAUAUCGCGAGCUUUGCUAUUAUAGUUGGAUCUUAUGGUGCUUCUCCCCCUCUACUCUCUUGUAAUGGAUUGAGUUUUCCCUUUGAAGUUAUCUUAUCGGAUUGAGUCUUUAAGGAUUUGAGAACACUUGAUGUAUGUCUUGCAUGUGCUUAUCUGUGGUGACAAUGGGAUAUUCACGUGAUCUACUUGCUGUAUGUUUUGGUGAUCAACUUGCGGGUUCUGUGACCUUGUGAACUUAUGCAUAGAGGUUGGCACACGUUUUCGUCUUGACUCUCCGGUAGAAACUUUGGGGCACUCUUUGAAGUACUUUGUGUUGGUUUGAAUAGAUGAAUCUGAGAUUGUGUGAUGCAUAUCGUAUAAUCAUACCCACGGAUACUUGAGGUGACAUUGGAGUAUCUAGCUGACAUUAGGGUUUUGGUUGAUUUGUGUCUUAAGGUGUUAUUCUAGUACGAACUCUUGAAUAGAUUGAUCUGAAAGAAUAACUUUGAGGUGGUUUCGUACCCUACCAUAAUCUCUUCGUUUGUUCUCCGCUAUUAGUGGCUUUGGAAUGACUCUUUGUUGCAUGUUGAGGGAUAGUUAUGUGAUCCAAUUAUGUUAUUAUUGUCGAGAGAACUUGCACUAGUGAAAGUAUCAACCCUAGGCCUUGUUUUCUAGCAUUGCAAUACCGUUUACGCUCACUUUUACCACUUGUUACCUUGCUGUUUUUAUAUUUUCAGAUUACAAAAACCUAUAUCUACCAUCCAUAUUGCACUUGUAUCACCAUCUCUUCGCCGAACUAGUGCACCUAUACAAUUUACCAUUGUAUUGGGUGUGUUGGGGACACAAGAGACUCUUUGUUAUUUGGUUGCAGGGUUGCUUGAGAGAGACCAUCUUCAUCCUACACCUCCCACGGAUUGAUAAACCUUAGGUCAUCCACUUGAGGGAAAUUUGCUACUGUCCUACAAACCUCUGCACUUGGAGGCCCAACAACGUCUACAAGAAGAAGGUUGCGUAGUAGACAUCAAGCUCUUUUCUGGCGCCGUUGCCGGGGAGGUGAGUGCUUGAAGGUAUAUCUUUAGAUCUUGCAAUCGAAUCUUUUUGUUUCUUGUUUUAUCACUAGUUUAGUCCAUAAAAGAAAACUACAAAAAAAUGGAAUUGAGGGUACCUCAUAUGCUUCAUCUUUUUAAUGUCUUUCGUGAAAAUGAUGGAAAGGAAAAUUGUGAUCAAGUGCUAGAAGAAGAAUGCAUUAAAAUGUUUGGCACUAAAUAUUUGAAUGUUGAGCAUGAUUGCAAUGUUGUUAGUAUGAAUUCCUUGAAUAUACAUGAUGCUAAUGAUAUGCAAAGCCACAAGCUUGGGGAUGCUAUGUUUGAUGAAGAUGAUAUGCACUACAAAAAAAAGACACAUCCGUGAUGUUUUGGGCCGAACGAAUUUUUUUUUCUGUCAUACAGAUGACACUUCUAUGACGAUAAUUGUGACAAAACCCGGUAUCAUCAUAGACGUGGUGGGCUCCUACUUCUAUGACAAAAAAUCAUGACAGAAAAUGGGCUUUUCGUCCUGGGCGGGCCGGAGACGCAGCUGCAUGACAUUCUUUUGGCCGUCCAUGACGGAAAAAACCGUGGUAGAAGCGAGGGCGAGGAAAAUUUCGGGGAGUUCCCAGUUACGGUGGGAGGUCGGGGGCCGAGCGAUGCGCGUUUCUCUCGUACACGUACGCGCGUGUGUGCGAGGCGUUGGCUCUAACUGAACCCGAGCGAGGCAUUGGGCUCUAACUGAACCCGAGCGAUUGCACUGCAGGCUACGCAUUACUGAACCCGAGCGAUCGAUCGAUGGCUGCUAACUGAACCCGAUCGAGCGAUUCCUUCGCUACUGCUGCUAACUGAAGUCGGUCGAUGCUGCCUCUGGAUGAACAGUGAGCGUUGUUGGGGGGUUUGGAUGAACAGUUCCCGGUGGGGGUGGAUGAACAGGACCCCGUGGUGUUGCCUCUGGAUGAACAGGACCCCGAUCGAUCGAGCCGGUUGGGGCUGGAUGAACAGGACCCCGUGGAGGGCAGGAUGAACAGGACCAUCCCAUGGAGGGCAGAAUGAACAGUAGACGGUGGAGGGCUGGAUGAACAGUAGCCCGUGGAGGGGUGGUUGAACAGGAGCCCGUGGAGAGGGCUGGUUGAACAGUAGCCGGUGGAGUAGCGCGUGGUGGAGGCUGGAUGAACAGGAGCCCGUGGAUGAACAGUCCCAGGUGGAGGCUGGAGGAGGUCGACGGUGGAUGAACAGUAGCCCGUGGAGGCUGGAGGGGGUCGACGGUGGAGAUGAACAGUGUCCUGUGGAGUCCCGUUUUGCGGUACGCCACACCCCUCCCGAUGAACAAGACCCCCGUUUCGACCGUAGCGCUCCAACACAAGUCCGUUUCCUCCAUUUUGCGGUACGCCAGACCCCUCCCGAUGAACAGGAUCCCGUUUCAAACGUGGCCGGUCGAACACAAGGCCGUUUCCUCCGUUCUGCGGUACGCCAGGCCUCGUUUUCAUUGACUGUUCCGUCCAAGCCCUCCCGAUGAACACGACGACGCAUUCCGUUCCGACCCAGCUGGUUGGCUCCCACGCGUUCCGUUGCCUCCCGAUGAACACGACGCAUUCCGUUGCCUCCCCAUGAACACGACGACGACACCAUUUCUCCGUUCCAACCCAGCCAUGUACACGAGCCCUGGCCGUACGUAUGCGCGAGUAAGCGUUCGAGACCCCGCCCGUAUGUACACAUACGUGGCCGUAUUUUCUUUCUUGCACCCUGGCCGCUGUACGUACGUGUACAUGCUACAUGCGCGCCCCUACUACGACACGUGCGCGCCUCUACAUCCAUCAGUAUAUAUGUACGUACACGUUCGCGACCAGAAUGACAACGCUAUGUACCCUUCGACCAGGUGGGUCCCGACUGUCAGGCACUUCCUUGCCUGCGAAGAUGUAGCUGGUGGGUCCCAGCAGUCAGGGAGGCGAAUUGUUUUGUUUUUGCCCGGACGCACUUCCUUGCGUGCGAAGAUGUAGCUGGUGGGUCCCAGCAGUCAGGGGCAAACGUUUUUUUUGCGAAAUACGGUGGCCCGUCCGGUGGGUCCCAGCUGUCAGGUGGAGGAAUAAUUAUUUUGCACGUAAUAAGGAGGCACUUCCUUGCUGCCGCCGUGGACCCAGCUGUCAGCCUCUCCACGUACAGUCCACGUCCGAUGGAAGCCGUUCCUUGACCACGUUGACCACGCCGCGCUGAGAGCACCAGGGCGGUGGACGACGGCGAGGCCUAGGAAGGGGACGACGUGGAGCCGGGGAAGACGCGGCAAUGGAUGCCCACACGUAGAGGAGUACGAGGGUUCACUGGUUCGCUGCGGUGUAAGGCUGCCGUCGCCGCAGAAUAACAGGGGGUGUGGGUGAGUAGAGGGAUGGCCUGGCCAGCGGUGGGAGUAGUAGGCGGCGGCGAGGCCUCUGCCGCAUCGCAGCUGGCCACGAGAGGCAGGAGCACGAGGCACGACUGGCGCUGGUUUGGGCGGCUGGAGCAAGAAGACCAGAGGUUGAAGAAGCACUACGGCCGUUGGAUGGACAUCGUACGGUCACUGGAGCUAGAAUCGUGCAUAUUGACUAAGUUGACAAAGCCCUCCAUCCCCGUCAACUUAGUAGGCCCACAAGUCAGCCUGCCACUAUACUGGGUCCCAACUAACAGGGGGAGUAUUCAUUUUUUUGUGCGUAAUAAGGAGGCACUUCCUUGCGUGCGAAGAUAUAGCUGGUGGGUCUGAGCUGUCAGCGGCGGUAACGUUUUUUUCGCAAAAUACAGAGGCCCUUUCGGUGGGUCCCUAAUGUCAGGUGGAGGAAUCAUUAUUUUGCGCGUAAUAAGGAGGCAUUUCCUUGCGUGCGGCCGUGGACCCAGCUGUUGGCCUCUCCACGUACAGUCCACUUCAGAUGCAUGUCGGUCGUUGACCACGUUGACCAGGCCGUGCCGAGAGCACCAGGGCGGUGGACGACAACGAGGCCUAGGAUGGGAACGACACGGAGGCAAGGAAGACUCGGCAGUUGUUUCCCACGCGGAGGGGAGUACGACUGUACGAGGGUUUACUGGUUCGUCUGCCGUCGCCGGAGAAUAACAGCAGGUGUGGGUGAGUAGAGGGAUGGCUAGGCCAGCGAUGGGAGUACGGUGGGGCGGUGAGGCCUGCGCGGCAGCACAGCCGGCCGCGGGGAGGCGGGAGCAGGCAGUCCCGCCGGCGCUUGUUUGAGCGGCUGGAGCAGGAAGAGCAGAGAUUGAAGAAGCACGGCGGCCAUUCGAUGGACAUCCAACAGUCACUGCUUGUGCGUCAACCUUUUUUUAGGAAAGCCUCAAAUCUGUGGAAAACAGCAAACAACCCAUCUGCCAUCAUUUCUAAUAAUUUACAGCCCAUUUGCUAAUUCUUAAGGUUUUUUUGGAGCCCAUAUUCUUUUUGUUAGCAUUACAGUGGCCACGGUCAAACAAUUAUAUGUAAUUUUGCAUAUUUCGGUGCGGUCCGAACUGUUUUUAAUCCCGAAAUUUUGACUCACAUUCAAACUGAUUUUAAAAAUAAAUGUAUAUCAAUAUAAAAUCCAACAAAUUCUCCACGCAUAAAAAUUAAUGUAAUUUAAAAUCUCGAAAUAAAAAAAGAUAUUUGAAACUAAUUGCCGGUUUGAUGUGUUUUAAAAAUGUACAACCCAUUUCUCAUUACUGAUAGGCCAUUUUCUCGGCCAGCCGAAUGAAGCUCUCCUCGUCUUGAAAGAUUUGCAGCCCAACAAGCCUGACAAAGCGACUUACUUGGGAAAUCACAAAAAAACUGGGCUGUGGCUGUGGACCCAGCUGUCAGCCUCUCCACGUACAGUACUCUUCCGAUGGAAGUCAGUCGUUGACCACAUUGACCACGCCGCGCCGAGAGCACCAAGGCGGUGGACGACGGCGAGGCCUAGGAAGGGGUCGACGCGGAGCCGGGGAAGACGCGACAGUGGAUGCCCACGCGGAGAGGAGUACGAGGGUUCACUGGUUCGGCUGCGGCGUGAGGCUGCCGUCGCCGCAGAAUAACAGGGGGUGUGGGUGAGUAGAGGGAUACCCUGGGCCAGCGGUGGGAGUAGUAGGGGGCGGUGAGGCCUCCGCGGCAUCACAACCGGCCACGAGAGGCAGGAGCACGCGACACGAUCAGCGCUGCUUUGGGCGGCUGGAGCAAAAAGACCAGAGGUUGAAGAAGCACUAUGGCCGUUGGAUGGACAUCGUACGGUCACUGGAGCUAGAAUCGUUCAGAUUGACUAAGUUGACAAAGCCCUCCGUCCUCGUCAACUUAGUAGGCCCACAAGUCAGCCACCCACUAUGGUGGGUCCCAGCUAGCAGGGGGUAUUCAUUUUUUGUGCGUAAUAAGGAGGCACUUCCUUGCGUGCGAAGAUAUAGCUGGUGGGUCCGACCUGCCAGCGGGGGGAACAUUUUUUUCGUGAAAUAUAGAAGCCCUUCCCACGUACAGUGCACGUACAGUGCGUAAUAAGGAGGAACUUUCCUUGCGUGCGACCAUGGACCUCGUGGGUCCCAGCCGUCAGGCUCUCCACGUACAGUCCUCUUCUGAUGACUCUCGUAUGUUGACCACGCCGCGCCGAGCACACCGAGGCGGUGGACGACAGCGGGGCCCCAGACUGGAACGACCCGGAGAUGGGGAAGACGCGGUAGUGGAGUCGCAGACGGAGAGGAGUGGGAAACUUGACUGGUUCGGGUGCGGGGUGGUCCUACACUCGGCAGAGAAUAACAGGAGGUGCGGAGUGGAGGGAUGGCCUGGCCGUCGGCGGGGUAGCGUUUCGCUGAGGAGCGCAAAACAACGCCGCUGGACGCCGAAGGCUGGAGCAGGCGGUUCCGGCAGCGCUGGGGGAAGAAGACGAGAGAUUGAAGAAGAAUGCCGGCCGUUGGAUGUAAAUCCAACGCCUUCUUAGGCUUCGACCUACUGGCCCACAUGUCAGCCAGUCCAUUUGUUUUUUUAGUCCAUUUGGUGGGCUGGGUGAAACAAUGAUGUAGCAUCUAUGCAGCCCGUUUAAAUCCCAUUUGCAUUUUUCUCGAAAUCCGCGGACUUGCUGGGCUGGGUGAAAAUAUCAUGUUGGGCUAGACGGAGAAAUGUUAUAAAAACAUAAACACAUG